GGAUGUGAGGGUGAUCUGGCUGCAACAUCUGUCACCCCAUUGAUUCCAGGGUUGAUUUGGCUGAUCUGGCUGGCUAGGUGGGUGUCCCCUUCCUCCCUCACCGCUCCAUGUGCAUCCCUCGCGAAGCUGCUGCGUGCUCAAAGAGGACAACCUUCCCCGAUAGAGGAGGACCGUUCUUCAGUCAAGCGUAUACGAGUAGCUGCGCUCCCCUGCUAGAACCUCCAAACAAGCUCUCAAGAAAAAGAGAACACAGAUUAAUAUCAGGAUUAAAGAAGGGUUAUCACUCCAGGUCUUAUACAUAAAUGGAUAAAAAGAAUAUUCUAAACAACUUU
This 332-nucleotide small nuclear RNA is filed under the name Prolemur simus (greater bamboo lemur). Its description in RNAcentral is "7SK RNA (ENSPSMG00000014498.1)". It matches the Rfam family "7SK RNA". From Rfam's summary of the family: 7SK was discovered as an abundant small nuclear RNA in the mid-70s but a possible function has only recently been suggested. Two independent studies have found that 7SK RNA binds the CDK9/cyclin T complex (known as elongation factor P-TEFb). The record is from Rfam by way of RNAcentral. Lineage: Eukaryota; Metazoa; Chordata; Mammalia; Primates; Lemuridae.